RNAcentral lists this long non-coding RNA (791 nucleotides) under Homo sapiens (human). RNAcentral describes it as "non-protein coding LINC02109:37". The record is from RNAcentral. Lineage: Eukaryota; Metazoa; Chordata; Mammalia; Primates; Hominidae.
CAGAGGAAAGGCUGAAGGUUGAGUUGAUUACCAGUAGCUCACGAUAUAAUCAUUCAUGCCUACAUAACACAGCUUUCAUAAGAACCCAAUAGGACAGGGUUCAAGGACCCUCUAAAGAAUGCCACACCUAUAGAGGCAUGGAAACUCUUUGCCACUUUCAUCUGACUAUUGAUCUAUAUCCUUUGUAAUGCCUCUUAUAAGAAAUGGGCAGAUUCUAGCAGUGUUUGUGAGAAAAACUGAUGGAUCCUGCAGAUUAACUAUGGACAGCCAAAUAUUGAGUAAAGUGAUGUCUACAACAGCAUCAGCUAUGCCUGAUAUGGUGUUAAUUCACAUUGUGAAGUCCUCAAUAGGAAAAAGAUGCCUCCCUGGUCGACCUUCCUGGAAAGUAUGCAUAUCAUUACUGCUUAGAUUUUGUUGGAGAGAAAUCACACUACCAUCAAAGACAACGGGUCAAAAAGAAUGCCGUCCUAAGCUGAGAAGCCAUCUUCCUAACGACAGCCAUGUAAUAUGAAAGGGAAAAACACACUGUUAUUGAAGAACUUAUCAGCUAUGUCACAUCUUCCACACAAAUACUCAGGAAAGUUAAAAGAAAAUUUUACCUCGGACACAGUUGAUGAUUGCUAAAGUCCUAUUGCAUGCUUUAAGAUGCCUUGCGUUUGGUGAAUUGAAGCCUGAUAUGUCAACAUACUCUCUGUAAACACAGCAGCACAGAGGGCAAAGAAACACUUAUCCAGCACCACAGCUAGGACAAAAGGAAUUAUUUUGACAGUAAAUGGACUUGCAGCUUAAGU